Molecule: long non-coding RNA, 470 nt
Filed under: Daucus carota (carrot)
Lineage: Eukaryota; Viridiplantae; Streptophyta; Magnoliopsida; Apiales; Apiaceae
Description: long non-coding RNA (DCAR_LNC001659)
Source: RNAcentral
AUUUCACGGAACUACGGAUUGCUCGUUCUUUCCGGUGCUUUUAUCCUCAAAAGUGGUCCGAGUUAUCUUGUUUUUGUGGAUUUGUUCCUCAGAUUUAAGGAUUGCGUUGGUUUAGCCAAUAUUUCAUUUACGCAUUUGAUUGUUAGGUUGUCACGUUUGUUUUUAGUUUUUUUGUUGUCUCACCGUUUGUGUGAGUUUUGUUAUUUCUCACCGUUUGUGUGAGUAUGGUGCUUGAUUUAGUAAUUGAAAUUGUCAGGGGAUUGCAUUCUCAGUCGAUAGCUCAAACUGGUUGUGGCGGAAGCGAAAGUGGCGAAGUAUGUGUAUAUAUCAUCUUCAACAAAUCACGUGAUUUUAUCUCCAAGAUGAAUGGAUUAAUCAGUGAUUGUUUCUGUAUUUUGUUUGUUCGACGCGACUGUUUAUGUAGAUGCCGUAUGGCUUUUCAUUAUUGAAUUAACUCAUUUAUCAAAAAA